RNAcentral lists this ribosomal RNA (479 nucleotides) under Apioplagiostoma aceriferum. Its description in RNAcentral is "eukaryotic LSU rRNA". It matches the Rfam family "Eukaryotic large subunit ribosomal RNA", at positions 131 to 629 of the family's 3401-position model. The record is from RNAcentral. Lineage: Eukaryota; Fungi; Ascomycota; Sordariomycetes; Diaporthales; Gnomoniaceae.
CUUCGGCCCGAGUUGUAAUUUGCAGAGGAUGUUUAUGGUGCAGUACUUUCCGAGUUCCCUGGAACGGGACGCCACAGAGGGUGAGAGCCCCGUCUGGAUUGAUACUAAACCUGUGUUAAACUCCUUCAACGAGUCGAGUAGUUUGGGAAUGCUGCUCUAAAUGGGAGGUAAAUCUCUUCUAAAGCUAAAUAUUGGCCAGAGACCGAUAGCGCACAAGUAGAGUGAUCGAAAGAUGAAAAGCACCUUGAAAAGGGGGUUAAACAGUACGUGAAAUUGUUGAAAGGGAAGCGUUUAUGACCAGACUUGUGCUGUGUGGCUCAUCCGAGGUUCUCCCCGGUGCACUCCAUACAGUUCAGGCCAACAUCGGUUGUCGUCGGAGGAUAAGAACAGUAGGAACGUGGCCCUUUUCGGGGGGUGUUAUAGCCUAUUGUAUGAUACUCUGAUGGCGACCGAGGACCGCGCUUCGGCUAGGAUGUUGG